CAUACCAUGCUGAAUAUACCGGUUCUCGUUAGAUCACCGAAGUCAAGCAUCAUUGGGCGCGGUCAGUACUUGGGUGGGUGACCACCUGGGAACACUGUGUGCUGUU
Non-coding RNA from Caerostris darwini, 106 nucleotides. The record is from the annotation of a GenBank genome assembly. Lineage: Eukaryota; Metazoa; Arthropoda; Arachnida; Araneae; Araneidae.